This 492-nucleotide ribosomal RNA is filed under the name uncultured bacterium. RNAcentral's name for it is "bacterial SSU rRNA". It matches the Rfam family "Bacterial small subunit ribosomal RNA", at positions 26 to 507 of the family's 1533-position model. The record is from RNAcentral.
AGAUUGAACGCUGGCGGCAUGCUUUACACAUGCAAGUCGAACGGCAGCGGCGGGGGCAACCCUGGCGGCGAGUGGCGAACGGGUGAGUAAUGUAUCGGAACGUAUCCUGUAAUGGGGGAUAACCAGUCGAAAGAUUGGGUAAUACCGCAUACGCACGAGAGUGGAAAGUAGGGGAUCGCAAGACCUUACGUUAUAGGAGCGGCCGAUAUCUGAUUAGCUAGUUGGUGGGGUAAAGGCCUACCAAGGCGACGAUCAGUAGCUGGUCUGAGAGGACGACCAGCCACACUGGGACUGAGACACGGCCCAGACUCCUACGGGAGGCAGCAGGUGGGGAAUUUUGGACAAUGGGCGAAAGCCUGAUCCAGCCAUGCCGCGUGCAGGAAGAAGGCCUUCGGGUUAGUAAACUGUCUUUAGUCUAAGGAAAAAGGGGUGCGAGGUUAAUACCCUCGUGCUUUGAUGGUACUGGAAGAAUAAGCACCGGCUAACUACGUG